RNAcentral lists this ribosomal RNA (96 nucleotides) under uncultured bacterium. RNAcentral describes it as "partial 16S ribosomal RNA". It matches the Rfam family "Bacterial small subunit ribosomal RNA", at positions 340 to 432 of the family's 1533-position model. The record is from RNAcentral.
UACGGGAGGCAGCAGUGAGCGAAUAUUGGUCAAUGGGCGGGAGCCUGACACCAUCCGAGUCGCGUGAAGGAAGAAGGAUCUAUGGAUCGUAAACUU